UACAGAGGUCCCGAGCGUUGUUCGGAUUCAUUGGGCGUAAAGGGUGCGUAGGUGGCGCCGUAAGUCGGGUGUGAAAUUUCGGAGCUUAACUCCGAAACUGCAUUCGAUACUGCGGUGCUUGAGGACUGGAGAGGAGACUGGAAUUCAUGGUGUAGCAGUGAAAUGCGUAGAGAUCAUGAGGAAGACCAGUGGCGAAGGCGGGUCUCUGGACAGUUCCUGACACUGAGGCACGAAGGCCAGGGGAGCAAACGGG
Molecule: ribosomal RNA, 253 nt
Filed under: uncultured bacterium
Lineage: Bacteria
Description: partial 16S ribosomal RNA
Rfam family: Bacterial small subunit ribosomal RNA
Source: RNAcentral